RNAcentral lists this long non-coding RNA (2530 nucleotides) under Homo sapiens (human). RNAcentral describes it as "HSALNT0060240". Lineage: Eukaryota; Metazoa; Chordata; Mammalia; Primates; Hominidae. The record is from RNAcentral.
GGCGGGGGCGGAGCCUGGGCCCGAAACGCCACGGGCGCGACUCUGUGCGCGUCCGCCCACACGGGGGCGCUGUGUCCUCGCAAGCUCCCGCGGGGUGCCUCGCGGCCCUGGAACGCUGUGGUUUUCGAGGGGAAAAGUGAGAGUGGCUGGUCCUGCCUCCGCUGCCGCUUGGCCCUGAGAUCCCCACUGCCCACGGGAUAGGCCCCAGUCCACCCAGCCGGGGCCCCCCCCUUCCCCUCGUCUCGCUCUCCUUGGCAGUUCGGACUUCGGGUCAGUCCCACACUCGCGCCCGGCUGUCCCUGCUGCGCUCCUGUCACUGGCAUUGGGAAGCCCUCCGGCCCCCUCUCUGCACACCUGGCACACGGCUCCUCCCUGGCGGCAUAACCAUCUCCCUCACUUUGGAGCACAGACCAGCGAACUGGGCCAUCUCUCUGGGUACCACCUCAGCUAGGAUAUUUGAGGGGCAGGAACCAGGGGUCUGUGGCCUAGGAAGAGCAAGACCACGGUCCCCUCCUCACCUGGCUGAUCUGGAUAUUGGUACCUUGGGCAGCCGAAGAAGACUCUGUCCCCACCCGCGGCUGUGAGAUCUGCUGUCAGCGCCACUUCCAUCUUGCUCCUUAAACAGCAUGAAAGGCUUGGAGCCCAAGUGAGAGGCCCAGCCAGGGCAGAGGCCUGGUUCUGGUCCUCUAGGUGGGUCACCUUCCCCACACCGGACCCCGCUUCCUUCACCUGGCUGGUACAAAGGUCAGAUCUUGACAGCUCCUAGCUGCUGCUAAAUGCCAACACAGAAGGAGGCAGUAUGGCCCCCAGGAGUUAGGAACACAGGUUCCAAGCAGCCUGAUUUCAAAUCCUGGUUCCAUCUCUCACUAGCUGGCCAAGGGACUUGCCUCCUCUGUGGAAGUGGUCUUGGAAGUGGGCUAGCACACCUAUCCCAGUCUCACAGGCUACUGUGAAGGCAACAUGGAACGCAGAGUGUGAACACAGUCCCUGGUGCAAUAAGCUCUUGCUGCAUCUCUCUUCUGUUUGUCUAACAUGGCUCGAGUGGGGAGGCUAAAGACAAGCGCAGCCUCAGAGGACACUGGCAGCCGGCAUGGGCCACAUGCACAGCUGACUUCAUGAAGGGUCCCACCACCACUGCUGUGCAUGCCAGUGUCUCCUCAGGGGCCAGGCCGAGGGAGAAGAUUCACUCUGGCAGCAGGGACGGCUGGGGCCUCUCAGGCUAGAUGGAAUCCCCAGCAUCAUCUCCGCCCCCUCCCACUGUCCCCUUGACAUGACUACAGGGGACUGUCCCUAAUGGAAGGACAAUGCUGCUUGCCCCACAAGGAGCUCAUAGUUAGUCUGAACUAAAGCACUGGACCAAGAUGACCAUCCUAGUCAGCCCUGCCUCCCAUAUCAUUACAGCACGGAGAUCCAGUCUGAACUAGCACAAGGAGCAAGUGCUGGGAACAGCGUCCGGGUACUUAGCCCCACCUCAGGCACCACGGAGCCAGCAGGGAAGGACAGGCCUGGCAAGGGCAAGAACGCAGCUCUCAUCCUACUGGGAAGGCACAUUCCAGUAAGGUGCACUGCCCAGUGCUGCACUUGCCCUUGCUGCUUACUUAGUGGGCGAACGCAGAGAUUCGGCCAGAGAGAUAGGGACACUUCAGAGGGACACUUCAGAGAUAGGGACACACGAGCCAACUGACAAGAGCUCUCACUGGCCAAAGCUGGCUCAAUUUGAGCAACAAAAUAAAUCUACUAAAGUAUACAAUGAACUUCCGUAAGUCCAUUCUGAUACAAUCUUCCAUGCAGAAUCCCAAAUAAUUUUGGUAAAUACUCAGUUCUCUAGAGGUGAGCAUAACCCCUGCCACUUAAGUGUGGGCUGCAUAUAGUGACUUCCUUCCAAAGAAUUCAGUAUGGAAAGGCAGCAGAGAGUAACUUUACAGUGAGAAGACCCGACAAACAUGACCUCAGCCAAAGGGUCAAGCUCACCAUCAACGAUGAGUCAUGUUGCUAGCAUGUGAUGAGAACCACACAUGAUACGAUGUGAUCAGAACCACAUUUCACCUCUAGUCUUCCUCUCCAUAACCCACAAUCCCAGUCUACUCAUGAGAAAAGCAUCAGACAAACCCCAACUGAGGGAUGUUCUACAGAUACCUGAUCAGUCCUCCUCAAAACUGUCAGGGUCAUCAAGAACAAGGAAAAUCUAAGAAGAUGUCACAGCCAAGAGGCAUCUAAGGAGACAUGACAACUAGUUGUAAUGGGUUAUCCUGGAUGGGAUCCUGGGACAGAAAAAGGACAUUAGGUAAAACUGAGAAAAUGUGAACGCAGUAGAAUAAUGCAUCAGUAUUGGUCAUUCACGGUGACAAAUGUGCUAUCUGAUGUAACACGUUAACAAGAAGGGAAACUGGGUACAAGAUACAUGGGAACUCCCUAUUGUAUGUUCACAAUGACUCUGUACAUCUAAAACUGUUCUGAAAAGUUUAUUUUUAAAAAACUUAGAGAGAGAGAGAGAGAGAAUCAAAAUAACCUAUGAAGAUUUAUAGAAAAC